AAUUUUCCACAAUGGGCGAAAGCCUGAUGGAGCAACACCGCGUGCAGGAUGAAGGCCUUCGGGUCGUAAACUGCUUUUCUUUGUGACGAAUCUGACUGUAGCAAAGGAAUAAGGAUCGGCUAACUACGUGCCAGCAGCCGCGGUCAUACGUAGGAUCCAAGCAUUAUCCGGAAUUACUGGGCGUAAAGAGUUGCGUAGGUGGCAUUGUAAGCAGGGCAUGAAAUUGUGUGGCUCAACCAUACAACUAUGUUCUGAACUGCAAAGCUAGAGAGCAAGAGGGGUAGAUGGAAUUACUAGUGUAGGAGUGAAAUCCGUAGAUAUUAGUAGGAACACCGAUAGCGUAGGCAGUCUACUGGCUUGUUUCUGACACUCAGGCACGAAAGCGUGGGGAGCGAAC
Molecule: ribosomal RNA, 397 nt
Filed under: uncultured bacterium
Lineage: Bacteria
Description: bacterial SSU rRNA
Rfam family: Bacterial small subunit ribosomal RNA
Source: RNAcentral